GAUGAACGCUGGCGGCGUGCCUAAUACAUGCAAGUCGAGCGAACAGAUGAGGAGCUUGCUCCUCUGACGUUAGCGGCGGACGGGUGAGUAACACGUGGAUAACCUACCUAUAAGACUGGGAUAACUUCGGGAAACCGGAGCUAAUACCGGAUAAUAUAUUGAACCGCAUGGUUCAAUAGUGAAAGACGGUUUUGCUGUCACUUAUAGAUGGAUCCGCGCCGCAUUAGCUAGUUGGUAAGGUAACGGCUUACCAAGGCAACGAUGCGUAGCCGACCUGAGAAGGUGAUCGGCCACACUGGAACUGAGACACGGUCCAGACUCCUACGGGAGGCAGCAGUAGGGAAUCUUCCGCAAUGGGCGAAAGCCUGACGGAGCAACGCCGCGUGAGUGAUGAAGGUCUUCGGAUCGUAAAACUCUGUUAUUAGGGAAGAACAAAUGUGUAAGUAACUAUGCACGUCUUGACGGUACCUAAUCAGAAAGCCACGGCUAACUACGUG
This 497-nucleotide ribosomal RNA is filed under the name uncultured bacterium. Its description in RNAcentral is "partial 16S ribosomal RNA". It matches the Rfam family "Bacterial small subunit ribosomal RNA", at positions 28 to 507 of the family's 1533-position model. The record is from RNAcentral.